GACGAACGCUGGCGGCGUGCUUAACACAUGCAAGUCGAGCGACUGCAUUCUUUUCGGAGGGUGUAUGGAGCGGCGAACGGGUGAGUAACACGUGAGUAAUCUGCCUUUGGCUUGGGAAUAACUUCGGGAAAUCGGGGCUAAUGCCUGAUGUUUACUGUCUGCUGCAUGGUGGGUGGUGGAAAGAUUUUUUGGCCAGGAUGAGCUCGCGGUCUAUCAGCUUGU
RNAcentral lists this ribosomal RNA (222 nucleotides) under uncultured bacterium. Its description in RNAcentral is "partial 16S ribosomal RNA". It matches the Rfam family "Bacterial small subunit ribosomal RNA", at positions 28 to 249 of the family's 1533-position model. The record is from RNAcentral.